RNAcentral lists this ribosomal RNA (259 nucleotides) under uncultured bacterium. RNAcentral's name for it is "partial 16S ribosomal RNA". It matches the Rfam family "Archaeal small subunit ribosomal RNA", at positions 474 to 728 of the family's 1478-position model. The record is from RNAcentral.
UACCAGCACCCCGAGUGGUCGGGACGUUUAUUGGGCCUAAAGCAUCCGUAGCCGGUUCUACAAGUCUUCCGUUAAAUCCAACUCGCUUAACAGGUGGCUGGCGGAAGAUGGACUAUAGAGGCUAGGAGGCGGGAGAGGCAAGCGGUACUUCGAUGGGUAGGGGUAAAAUCCGUUGAUCCAUAGAAGACCACCAGUGGCGAAGGCGGCUUGCCAGAACGCGCUCGACGGUGAGGGAUGAAAGCUGGGGGAGCAAACCGGG